GUUUUCUUCAGAGAAUCCAUCGCCCAUCACCAACCACCAGGAAAUACAUCCUUGAAUAUCUUCAGGGUCUACGUGUGCCACGAGACUGAGUGUUUCUCCUUGCUCUAGCUCAAAUGACAAGGAUAAGAAAUCCCGGUUUGCUUUGAUACCAACCAUAAGGGCUUCUUCAUGAAGCCAUCGUAUCACCUGGCUGGCAACCUGCUGCAAUAGAACCAUCGGAAGAUCUGACAAGUCACAAUCAUAUCUGUUCAUAGGGCAAA
This 260-nucleotide unclassified non-coding RNA is filed under the name Hevea brasiliensis (rubber tree). Lineage: Eukaryota; Viridiplantae; Streptophyta; Magnoliopsida; Malpighiales; Euphorbiaceae. The record is from RNAcentral.